RNAcentral lists this ribosomal RNA (425 nucleotides) under uncultured bacterium. Its description in RNAcentral is "partial 16S ribosomal RNA". It matches the Rfam family "Bacterial small subunit ribosomal RNA", at positions 354 to 796 of the family's 1533-position model. The record is from RNAcentral.
GUGGGGAAUAUUGCACAAUGGAGGAAACUCUGAUGCAGCGACGCCGCGUGAGUGAAGAAGUAUUUCGGUAUGUAAAGCUCUAUCAGCAGGGAAGACAGUGACGGUACCUGACUAAGAAGCUCCGGCUAAAUACGUGCCAGCAGCCGCGGUAAUACGUAUGGAGCAAGCGUUAUCCGGAUUUACUGGGUGUAAAGGGAGUGUAGGUGGCAGCACAAGUCAGAAGUGAAAGCCCGGGGCUCAACCCCGGGACUGCUUUUGAAACUGUGCAGCUAGAGUGCAGGAGAGGUGAGUGGAAUUCCUAGUGUAGCGGUGAAAUGCGUAGAUAUUAGGAGGAACACCAGUGGCGAAGGCGGCUCACUGGACUGUAACUGACACUGAGGCUCGAAAGCGUGGGGAGCAAACAGGAUUAGAAACCCCGGUAGUCC